AGGUAUUUAAUCUAACUCAAGAUACUUGAUUUCGACUCAAACAAUUAUGGACAAACCCAUGAAUACCUC
Molecule: transfer RNA, 69 nt
Filed under: Tlacuatzin canescens
Lineage: Eukaryota; Metazoa; Chordata; Mammalia; Didelphimorphia; Didelphidae
Description: tRNA-Arg
Source: RNAcentral